AUGGUUGUCGUCAGCUCGUGUCGUGAGAUGUUGGGUUAGUCCCGCAACGAGCGCAACCCCUGUGGUUAGUUGCCAGCAAGUAGCGUUGGGCACUCUAGCCAGACUGCCGGUGAUAAAUCGGAGGAAGGUGGGGACGACGUCAAAUCAUCAUGCCCUUUAUGUCCUGGGCUACACACGUACUACAAUGGCCGUUACAACGGGAAGCGAAGGAGCAAUCCGGAGCAAAUCCCUUAAAGGCGGUCCCAGUUCAGAUUGUGGGCUGAAACUCGCCCACAUGAAGGCGGAAUUGCUAGUAAUUGCAGAUCAGCAUGCUGCAGUGAAUACGUUCCCGGGCCUU
RNAcentral lists this ribosomal RNA (337 nucleotides) under uncultured Oscillospiraceae bacterium. Its description in RNAcentral is "bacterial SSU rRNA". It matches the Rfam family "Bacterial small subunit ribosomal RNA", at positions 1045 to 1382 of the family's 1533-position model. Lineage: Bacteria; Bacillati; Bacillota; Clostridia; Eubacteriales; Oscillospiraceae. The record is from RNAcentral.